UCGUGGGGGCAACCCCAUCGAGAUACCACCCCUUGUCUUUUGAGCACCGCCCGUUUCCUCGGCAGGUUCGCCUGCCAAUGGGGACCACAACCAACCUUUUAUUAGAAGUCCACGUCUUAUAAACAAAAAAUCA
Molecule: unclassified non-coding RNA, 133 nt
Filed under: uncultured Pleosporales
Lineage: Eukaryota; Fungi; Ascomycota; Dothideomycetes; Pleosporales
Description: sequence contains ITS1
Source: RNAcentral